GACGAACGCUGGCGGCAUGCCUAAUACAUGCAAGUCGAGCGAACAGAUGAAGUGCUUGCACUUCUGACGUUAGCGGCGAACGGGUGAGUAACACGUAAGGAAUCUACCUAUAAGCGGGGGAUAACAUUCGGAAACGGGUGCUAAUACCGCAUAAUAUCUUCUUCCGCAUGGAAGAAGAUUGAAAGACGGCUCUGCUGUCACUUAUAGAUGACCUUGCGGUGCAUUAGUUAGUUGGUGGGGUAACGGCCUACCAAGACGAUGAUGCAUAGCCGACCUGAGAGGGUGAUCGGCCAGCUGGGGACUGAGACACGGCCCAAACUCCUACGGGAGGCAGCAGUAGGUAAUCAUCCGCAAUGGGCGAAAGCCUGACGGAGCAAUGCCGCGUGAGUGAAGAAGGCCUUCGGGUCGUAAAACUCUGUUAUAAGAGAAGAACAAAUUGUAGAGUAACUGCUACAGUCUUGACGGUAUCUUAUCAGAAAGCCACGGCUAACUACGUGCCAGCAGCCGCCGUAA
This 513-nucleotide ribosomal RNA is filed under the name uncultured bacterium. RNAcentral describes it as "partial 16S ribosomal RNA". It matches the Rfam family "Bacterial small subunit ribosomal RNA", at positions 28 to 523 of the family's 1533-position model. The record is from RNAcentral.